RNAcentral lists this ribosomal RNA (466 nucleotides) under uncultured bacterium. RNAcentral describes it as "partial 16S ribosomal RNA". It matches the Rfam family "Bacterial small subunit ribosomal RNA", at positions 28 to 507 of the family's 1533-position model. The record is from RNAcentral.
GAUGAACGCUGGCGGCGUGCUUAACACAUGCAAGUCGAACGGAAAGGCCCAAGCUUGCUUGGGUACUCGAGUGGCGAACGGGUGAGUAACACGUGGGUGAUCUGCCCUGCACUUCGGGAUAAGCCUGGGAAACUGGGUCUAAUACCGGAUAGGACCACAUUUUGGAUGGUGUGGUGGAAAGUUUUUCGGUGUGGGACGAGCUCGCGGCCUAUCAGCUUGUUGGUGGGGUAAUGGCCUACCAAGGCGUCGACGGGUAGCCGGCCUGAGAGGGUGUACGGCCACAUUGGGACUGAGAUACGGCCCAGACUCCUACGGGAGGCAGCAGUGGGGAAUAUUGCACAAUGGGCGCAAGCCUGAUGCAGCGACGCCGCGUGGGGGAUGACGGCCUUCGGGUUGUAAACUCCUUUCGCUAGGGACGAAGCGUUAUGUGACGGUACCUGGAGAAGAAGCACCGGCUAACUACGUG